This 433-nucleotide ribosomal RNA is filed under the name uncultured bacterium. RNAcentral describes it as "partial 16S ribosomal RNA". It matches the Rfam family "Bacterial small subunit ribosomal RNA", at positions 29 to 507 of the family's 1533-position model. The record is from RNAcentral.
AACGAACGCUGGCGGCAUGCCUAACACAUGCAAGUCGAACGAGACCUCCGGGUCUUUUGGCGCUCGGGGGCGGAAGGCGUGGGAAGCUGCACUUAGGUACCGUAUACCUCCCUGAAGGGGAUGUUAAUGCCGGAUAAUGUCUUCGGACCAAAGAUUUAUGGCCUUUGGAUGGGCCCGAGUUGGAUUCGCUGGUUGGUAGGGUAAUAGCCGACCAAGGGGAGGAUCCAUAGCUGGUUUGAGAGCCGGAUACGCAACACUGGGACUAGGACACGGCCCAGAAUCCUACGGAAGGCAGGAGUGGGGAAUAUUGGACGAUGGGGGAAAGCCUGAUCCAGCAAUGCCGGGUAAGUCAUGAUGGCCGUAGGGAUGUGAAGCUGUUUUACCCGGGACGAUAAUGACGGUACCGGGUGAAGAAGCACCGGCUAACUCCGUG